This 433-nucleotide ribosomal RNA is filed under the name uncultured bacterium. Its description in RNAcentral is "partial 16S ribosomal RNA". It matches the Rfam family "Bacterial small subunit ribosomal RNA", at positions 29 to 507 of the family's 1533-position model. The record is from RNAcentral.
AACGAACGCUGGCGGCAUGCCUAACACAUGCAAGUCGAACGAGACCUUCGGGUCUAGUGGCGCACGGGUGCGUAACGCGUGGGAACCUGCCCUUAGGUUCGGAAUAACUCCCCGAAAGGGGUGCUAAUACCGGAUAAUGUCUUCGGACCAAAGAUUUAUCGCCUUUGGAUGGGCCCGCGUUGGAUUAGCUAGUUGGUAGGGUAAAAGCCUACCAGGGCGAUGAUCCAUAGCUGGUCUGAGAGGAUGAUCGACCACACUGGGACUGAGACACGGCCCAGACUCCUACGGGAGGCAGCGGUGGAGAAUAUUGGACAAUGGGCGAAAGCCUGAUCCAGCACUGCCGCGUGAGUGAUGAAGGCCUUAGGGUUGUAAAGCUCUUUUACCCGGGAUGAUAAUGACAGUACCGGGAGAAUAAGCUCCGGCUAACUCCGUG